RNAcentral lists this ribosomal RNA (425 nucleotides) under uncultured bacterium. RNAcentral describes it as "bacterial SSU rRNA". It matches the Rfam family "Bacterial small subunit ribosomal RNA", at positions 356 to 773 of the family's 1533-position model. The record is from RNAcentral.
GGGGAAUAUUGGACAAUGGGCGAAAGCCUGAUCCAGCCAUGCCGCGUGUGUGAAGAAGGUCUUCGGAUUGUAAAGCACUUUAAGUUGGGAGGAAGGGCAGUAAGCUAAUACCUUGCUGUUUUGACGUUACCGACAGAAUAAGCACCGGCUAACUUCGUGCCAGCAGCCGCGGUAAUACGAAGGGUGCAAGCGUUAAUCGGAAUUACUGGGCGUAAAGCGCGCGUAGGUGGUUUGAUAAGUUGGAUGUGAAAGCCCCGGGCUCAACCUGGGAAUUGCAUCCAAAACUGUCUGACUAGAGUAUGGCAGAGGGUGGUGGAAUUUCCUGUGUAGCGGUGAAAUGCGUAGAUAUAGGAAGGAACACCAGUGGCGAAGGCGACCACCUGGGCUAAUACUGACACUGAGGUGCGAAAGCGUGGGGAGCAAAC